CUUGGUCAUUUAGAGGAAGUAAAAGUCGUAACAAGGUUUCCGUAGGUGAACCUGCGGAAGGAUCAUUAAUAAGUUACCUCGCGCUCUCGAGCGUGCGGGUUUAGAUUCCACGUGCGUAUCCCGAUUAGGGGUUGUGCGGUGGCGGGUAGUAAUACCCGCCUUUGGGAUGACUAACUUAAACCCGUGUCUACCUUCUUUGUUGCUUUGGCGGGCCGCCUCACGGCACCGGCUCCGGCUGAUUAUGCCCGCCAGAGGACCCAAACUCUUUUGUUUUAGUGACGUCUGAGUACUAUAUAAUAGUUAAAACUUUCAACAACGGAUCUCUUGGUUCUGGCAUCGAUGAAGAACGCAGCGAAAUGCGAUAAGUAAUGUGAAUUGCAGAAUUCAGUGAAUCAUCGAAUCUUUGAACGCACAUUGCGCCCCUUGGUAUUCCGAGGGGCAUGCCUGUUCGAGCGUCAUUAUGACCAAUCAAGCCUGGCUUGGUGUUGGGGUUCGCGGUCCCGCGGCCCUUAAAAUCAGUGGCGGUGCCGCCCGGCUCUAAGCGUAGUAAUUUUCUCGCUAUAGUGUCCGGGUGGUUACCUGCCAGAACCCCCCAUUUUUACGGUUGACCUCGGAUCAGGUAGGGAUACCCGCUGAACUUAAGCAUAUCAAUAAGCGGAGGA
RNAcentral lists this ribosomal RNA (662 nucleotides) under uncultured sordariomyceta. RNAcentral describes it as "eukaryotic LSU rRNA". The stretch from base 305 to 458 matches the Rfam family "5.8S ribosomal RNA". The record is from RNAcentral. Lineage: Eukaryota; Fungi; Ascomycota.